GUAGGCAGGUUUCACUUCAAACCGAACAAAUCUUUCGCCUUUUACUAAAGAUUUCCGUGGAGGGGAAUACUAAAUGAGUCUAUAACCAAUUUUUCCAAGUUCUCGGCAUGCUGUUAU
This is a small nuclear RNA of Schistocerca nitens (vagrant locust), 117 nucleotides long. RefSeq annotates it as U5 spliceosomal RNA. Lineage: Eukaryota; Metazoa; Arthropoda; Insecta; Orthoptera; Acrididae. The record is from RefSeq and is a predicted model, not a curated record. The transcript has a single exon.